RNAcentral lists this ribosomal RNA (253 nucleotides) under uncultured bacterium. Its description in RNAcentral is "partial 16S ribosomal RNA". It matches the Rfam family "Bacterial small subunit ribosomal RNA", at positions 524 to 776 of the family's 1533-position model. The record is from RNAcentral.
UACGUAGGGGGCUAGCGUUGUCCGGAAUUACUGGGCGUAAAGAGCUCGUAGGUGGUUUGUCGCGUUGUUCGUGAAAACUCACAGCUUAACUGUGGGCGUGCGGGCGAUACGGGCAGACUGGAGUACUGCAGGGGAGACUGGAAUUCCUGGUGUAGCGGUGGAAUGCGCAGAUAUCAGGAGGAACACCGGUGGCGAAGGCGGGUCUCUGGGCAGUAACUGACGCUGAGGAGCGAAAGCGUGGGGAGCGAACAGG